AUGGCGGAGGAAGCGAAGCAGGAUGUGGCGCCACCCGCGCCGGAGCCGACCGAGGACGUCGCGGACGAGAAGGCGGCGGUUCCGUCGCCGGAGGAAUCCAAGGCCCUGGUUGUCGCCGAGAAUGACGCCGAGAAGCCUGCAGCUACAGGGGGCUCACACGAACGAGAUGCUCUGCUCACGAGGGUUGCGACCGAGAAGAGGAUUUCGCUGAUCAAGGCAUGGGAGGAGAAUGAGAAGGCCAAAGCCGAGAACAAGGCCGUGAAGUUGCUGGCGGACAUCACCUCGUGGGAGAACUCCAAGGCCGCGGAACUGGAAGCCGAGCUCAAGAAGAUGCAAGAGCAGCUGGAGAAGAAGAAGGCGCGCUGCGUGGAGAAGCUCAAGAACAGCGCCGCGACGGUGCACAAAGAGGCGGAGGAGAAGCGUGCCGCGGCGGAGGCACGGCGCGGCGAGGAGAUCGUCGCGGCGGAGGUGACCGCCGCCAAGUACCGCGCCAAGGGUGAGGCGCCGAAGAAGCUGCUCUUCGGCAGAGGAUAG
This 534-nucleotide ribosomal RNA is filed under the name Triticum aestivum (bread wheat). RNAcentral's name for it is "partial small subunit ribosomal RNA". Lineage: Eukaryota; Viridiplantae; Streptophyta; Magnoliopsida; Poales; Poaceae. The record is from RNAcentral.